Molecule: non-coding RNA, 476 nt
Organism: Hippopotamus amphibius kiboko
Lineage: Eukaryota; Metazoa; Chordata; Mammalia; Artiodactyla; Hippopotamidae
Source: the annotation of a RefSeq genome assembly
GCAGUCAAGACUCACGGGCAACAGAGACUCUAAGAAUGAAAUCUUCUCCAGGAUCAGUGAUUGUGCUACUCUUAAUGUUUGGAGGAAGCAAUGGAGACUCGGUGACCCAGACAGAAGGCCAAGUGACCCUCUCAGAAGGAGCUUCCCUGACUGUAAACUGCUCCUAUGAAACCACACAGUACCCUGCUCUUUUCUGGUAUGUCCAGUAUCCCAGGAGAGGUCCACAGGUCCUCCUGAGUGCCCAGAAGGCCGAUGAUAAGGGAAGCAACAAAGGCUUUGAAGCCACAUACCGCAGAGAAUCAAAAUCCUUCCACUUGGAGAAAGCCUCCGUCCAGGAGUCAGACUCGGCUGUGUACUACUGUGCUCUGAGUGGAGUGUCUGACCUUAUGAUCCACUUUGGUUUAGGAACCAGGAGCUGGGCUACGAAUCUCGAUAACAAAAUAGAGAAAGUACAAGAAACAGUUCAUAAGAACUCA